CCUAAACACAGCGUGGCUGCUUGCACUCAGUGAGACCUCUGUGUGCAGAACAUGUCCCAGAAGCUCCUGUCUGCUGCUGUGCAAGGAAAGGCAAUUCCUGGCUGGACAGAGGAGAACCAGCACCGAGAAAGGGGAGAAAGGUCCAAUAAGGAGAGAAGGCCUGUGCCUGCCGUGGCUCAAGCAGAAAGACAUCAUUUCAUCUUCUUAUGUGAAGAUCGGUGCCAGAAGGGUGGUGUCAUGGAGGUGAUCCGGCCUUGCUGCUCAGGUCCCUGCAGGGCUGCAUUGCUGGGCUCGCUGUGUGCAUCACAAAUGGGGCUCCUCAGAGCCAGCUGAGUGCUGUCAGCAGUG
Molecule: long non-coding RNA, 348 nt
Organism: Gallus gallus (chicken)
Lineage: Eukaryota; Metazoa; Chordata; Aves; Galliformes; Phasianidae
Source: Ensembl